RNAcentral lists this long non-coding RNA (407 nucleotides) under Salmo trutta (river trout). Its description in RNAcentral is "lncRNA (ENSSTUG00000016929.1)". The record is from RNAcentral. Lineage: Eukaryota; Metazoa; Chordata; Actinopteri; Salmoniformes; Salmonidae.
AAUGUUGACAGUUGUAUGGAACACAUUUUAUUGCUAAGAUGCUCAAACUUAACUUAAUAGCUACACUCACUGACAAAGGAUACAUUUUAUCCCUCAGGCUGGCCCUGGGCAAACUGUCUAGGAUGAAAAUGGCCUCAUCUAUGGGCAGACCCAUGACUGAAGCUGUACAGGCCAGAGAAGAAGGCGAAGGUCCUGAAGAAGGUGGUGAAUGACAUGAUAGAGGAGAGCUGCCUGGCACACAGCUGUGGAGUCCUACAGUUGGUCAGUGUGCCUCUGCCUCUUAUCUGUACAGAAUGACUUAGAGACAUCACAGACUCAGGAAUGCGUAAUGCUUUACCUCUAACAUUGUUAUUUCUACCAUUGUUAUUACAGUCCCUAGAUCAGCGGUUCCCAAACCAGAGGUCGCG